AACCCGUAAAGAACUUGCCCUUUAGACUGGGAUAACAGAGGGAAACUUCUGAUAAUACUGGAUANAGNUAGUAUAUCGCAUGAUAUGCAAAUGAAANGCUACNGNGCACUAAAGGAGANCUUUGCGNCCUAUUAGCUAGUUGGUAAGGUAAGAGCUUACCAAGGCGAUGAUAGGUAGCCGGCCUGAGANGGUGGACGGCCACAAGGGGACUGAGAUACGGCCCUUACUCCUACGGGAGGCAGCAGUGGGGAAUAUUGGACAAUGGAGGGAACUCUGAUCCAGCAAUUCUGUGUGUGUGAAGAAGGUUUUAGGACUGUAAA
Molecule: ribosomal RNA, 320 nt
Filed under: Sneathia vaginalis
Lineage: Bacteria; Fusobacteriati; Fusobacteriota; Fusobacteriia; Fusobacteriales; Leptotrichiaceae
Description: Sneathia amnii partial 16S ribosomal RNA
Rfam family: Bacterial small subunit ribosomal RNA
Source: RNAcentral